UACGGAGGGUGCAAGCGUUAUCCGGAUUCACUGGGUUUAAAGGGUGCGUAGGUGGGCAGGUAAGUCAGUGGUGAAAUCUCCGGGCUUAACUCGGAAACUGCCAUUGAUACUAUCUGUCUUGAAUACCGUGGAGGUCAGCGGAAUAUGUCAUGUAGCGGUGAGAUGCUUAGAUAUGACAUAGAACACCAAUUGCGAAGGCAGCUGGCUACACGAAUAUUGACACUGAUGCACGAAAGCGUGGGGAUCAAACAGG
This 253-nucleotide ribosomal RNA is filed under the name uncultured bacterium. Its description in RNAcentral is "partial 16S ribosomal RNA". It matches the Rfam family "Bacterial small subunit ribosomal RNA", at positions 524 to 776 of the family's 1533-position model. The record is from RNAcentral.